Molecule: small nucleolar RNA, 78 nt
Organism: Labrus bergylta (ballan wrasse)
Lineage: Eukaryota; Metazoa; Chordata; Actinopteri; Labriformes; Labridae
Product: small nucleolar RNA SNORD49
Source: Ensembl
AGCAGUGAUGAAAACCUGGAAUAGGAAGUGCCAUCCGAUGCGACAACUGACGAUUAUGUGUCAUCCAGUUUUCUGAGU